CAUGAAUCUCGACUGUUGAGUCAACAUCUGUCACCCAGCUUGUUCGGUCCAAUCUGUGUGGCCAUUUGUGGUGGGGACCAAAAGCAAGUCGUCAGAAGAUAAAUCACAAUGGAGUUUGCAGGUUGGGUUGAGCAGGUUGCCGUGGGGACGGAGGGCGGAGGCUGGAGCCUCAAUUGACAUCACCUGCAGCUCAUCAGCGGGCUCGUUAGCCAGCUCUUCUCCCGGCUAUUUAGAGUCAUGCAGGAGCUCCAGUCUUCGCCAGAUUGUCAUUCAAUGAAGCGUGGUAAUCAGGCCUCUACCUACGAUCUAUCUGUGCUUUGCUCUUGGAUUAUUGACCUUGUCAUUUUUUCUACAGACUAAGACCUUGAUCCCCUCAGUUAACCUCAGCACCCAGGAUUUUGGACUACUCCUCACAUCAAGCUACCUGCCUGCCUGCUCGCCCUGCCUGCAACCAAGCUCACAACACCAUCCACAGAUAACAUCUCCUGGUUCACCCCUCCACAGUCAGUCUCACGCAGAAACAGUAAGCCGCUGUCAAUGCUGACACAACCCAGCACCUUUCCCUGCAAUAACCCUCUGCCCUUUCCACAGAAGAGUUGCCCGGACCUAGAUCAAGCUACCAACACUUGUCAUUAAUAAACAUUGUCGCACCUUUCUCCCGGCUGUCUAAGUGUUCUGCUUUUGGGUCCGCUUCCUGGUACCGCGGCUGCAGGCCGUGUCAAUACCACUUCGUCCAUUAAGGGUUGUGGAAACCUAACCCAGCAUUUAGCAGGUGAGAGGCAGGUACAACCUGGAUAGAUCACCAGUCCAUCGCAGGGCCAACACAGAAUGAGACAAACAACUUCACGCUCACUCCUAGGGAGAAUUUACAGUCACCAACUAACCUACCAUGCAUGUCUUUUGACGGUGUAAGGAAGCUGGAAUACCUGGAGAGAACCCACGCAUACAUGGGGAGAACAUGCAAAUCAACACAGAAAGGCCACUGCUGGAACCUCCCCCAAGCCGAGGCUCAAAGCAGUGACCUUCUUGCUGUGAGGCCGCUAUGCUAACCACCACACCACCACAAGUUAAAUUACAAGUUAGAAAUAAUAAGUCAGUUAUACAAGUACAAAACAUUUACCCACAUUUUACAA
Long non-coding RNA from Melanotaenia boesemani (Boeseman's rainbowfish), 1133 nucleotides. RefSeq lists it as uncharacterized. Lineage: Eukaryota; Metazoa; Chordata; Actinopteri; Atheriniformes; Melanotaeniidae. The record is from RefSeq and is a predicted model, not a curated record. The transcript has 2 exons.